This is a long non-coding RNA of Medicago truncatula (barrel medic), 698 nucleotides long. RefSeq lists it as uncharacterized. The transcript has 2 exons. The record is from RefSeq and is a predicted model, not a curated record. Lineage: Eukaryota; Viridiplantae; Streptophyta; Magnoliopsida; Fabales; Fabaceae.
UACGUAUUUACACAAAAUUACUUACUUAUCUCUUUGUCACAAAUGGUCAUCAAUUUAGAGGGGUUUGUAUAAGUAAGUGUAGGAAGUACAUAUGGGGGGUAUAAGAAAGAUUUUACAAAAUCCCUUUCAAUUGAAUAUAAGGAUAUUGCCGCAAAACGGGAGCUAAAUCCUGUCGUGUCGUUUAAGAGCUACUUCUUCCUUCACUCUUGUCUCUGAGUCAACAAGAUGGAAACAGAAUUAUGUGACGCAGUGGUUCCCAGACCUCAAGUGAAUGCCACAUUUCGUCUCGGCACAGAGUCAUAUUCUGUUCAGGCAACCAAGGGUUCUUCAUUAUCAGAGCAACUGGUUAACAUGAAAGAACAAAGCAUGGCCGUAUUGAAGGAUUUCAUAACAAAGCAUAAUAUUCCUCAAGAUGUUCCAGACGAGUCGUUAGAAGCUUCCUCAGAAGAUGACGAUGAUGUUGCUAUGAAAGCUCAAGUAAAGUCGAAGAAAACUAAGCUUACUUAGCUUUUGAAAUAUGUCUAAAAUGUAUGAGUGGUUUUAUCUCUGUACUGUGUGAUUCUACAAUUAAUUUUUAGUGAGUUUAAUGAAGAGUUUAAUGAAUAUUAUUUGGUGGAUGAUAACACAUAGCAAUAACUUUUUGGAAUUGUGAUUGUGCCUUCAAGUUUAUUUCCUUAGAUGUUCUUCAGUUUAAUUUC